AAAACCUCCCGUUCAAAACACCCUCGGUGAGCACAUCAACAGCCUCCCACGGUCUCUCUCCGUUCGCUCUAUACCAAUACACGCACACGCGUACGCGCAAACCAUCUUGCUGCGUCCACCAGCGCCGCUACCUCCUCCCGCACGCACGCAUCAUGUUCCAGCGGAUGCACAGCCGCGUCGGCGCCACGGCGCUAGCGUCGGCCUUGCGCAUGCAGCAGAACCGGCUGAGUAGUUGCCCUGCCCCAAGCCUUUCCGCGGCAUCGGCGUGUCGCAACCUGCCGUGCGGGGCGUCCACCGCACCGGCAGCAACGGCCGCCUCCUUCGCCCUCCAGAGCGUGCUCCGCGGCUACACCACGGCGACCCGCGCACAGCAGAUGCGCGUGCAAGGCCGCGACAGCAUCCAAAGCCAGAAUACCCCUAUGAACUGGUCAGGCAGCAGCGGUGGCAGCCAGGCAGACAGCCUCACGCCGUUUGUGCGCCAGCAUCUCGCCCGCGUGUACACUCUCCUCGGCUGUGCAUGUCUGACGGCCGGGCUCGGAAGCUUCCUGAUGGUGGCCACGCCGAUGGGACGUGCCAUCCCGUACUGGCUCCCGAUGGUCGGCGGCUUCGUGCCGCUGCUUUGGCUGUCCUUUGCCCCGCCGGCGAACCCGUCGCUGAAGUUGUGCCUCUUCUUUUCCUUUGCGCUCUUGGAGGGCAUGGCGAUUGCCCCGCUCGUGCUCAUGACGAGCAUGAAGGGUGUGCUCACCACGUCGAUUCUGCUGACCGCUGCCGUCUUUGGCGGCUUCAGCGCGGCGGCGUACCUGGCACCGCGUGCCUCCAUGGUAGCGUGGCAGGGCCCGCUAUUUGGUGCACUGAUCGGCAUGGUCGCAAUAUCCCUGCUGAACGUUUUUUACCCCACCGCCUUUGCGCACUCGCUUAUUCUCUACGGCGGUCUUGCCAUCUUUUCAGUCAUGGUGGCAGUGGACACACAGGCCAUGAUUGAGCGUGCUCGUUGCGGGGCUGGCGACCACGUGCAGGACGCACUGCAGAUGUUCUUGAACGUGAUCAACAUCUUUGUGCGCAUUGCGCAGAUCAUGGGCAACAUGGACCGGUAAGCGCCCGUGUGUGUACGUACACGUAAAAGAACAACACGCGUCAAUGCGGAAAGAUAACGUGCAUGCGCGGCGCAAGAGCAAGGAGCAGCAGAAGCUGAGGAAGGCGCUGUAGCAGCCAAGUGCGCCCAUACACACACCCACGACCGACAACAUACCGUGAAUACCAUGCCACUCCGACUUGUCUGUGCGCUUGAUAUCGGUGACUGAACUGUGGGUACGAGGCGGACGUGUAGGGAUGAUGUGUAUUCUGCGCCGGGGCGCCCACAGCUGGUGCUGACUCCGAAAGGGAUUCAGGGAGGCAAGACAUGUCUAUCGUACAACGCGAGCUAGUUGCUUAAGGAUCUAAUUCUUUUUCUUUCCUGGGUUGGCCAUUGAACUGAACACUGAAUGCACCCUCCCCCUCCCCUCCCAUUGCCCCUCCCUUCGCAGCAUUUUCAUCUGUCUUUGUCCUGCGUGUCUACCUGCAGUCGCUCCAGUCAUCCUCCCCUCCCCGCAGCCCAUUUUUUCUUGUGAUGCCGGGUGAGUGUUAGUGAAUUCGCGUGCGUGCGCGUGUGUGUAUCCACCCUCCCAGAGCUCCUCAACUGUAAGUAGAGGGCGUUCCUUGAGCCUUCCCUGUACCUCCUCUGUCCUUCGGGAGGGUGCGCACGCACGCGCCCAUAAACAUACACACACACAGAGAUAGAAAGGGGCCACGCGCUUCGCGUUUUGUUUCCUUUCUGUAUUGCAUCUCUCCCCCUCCGCUCCCCUCUCGCGCUGCGCGCCAGUGACGCGGGAGAGGCGGUGCACGGGGCAUUAUCUUCCACAUGAAGGAGCUUUAUCGAACGCCUCCCCCCGCCCACGCCACGCAGGUUCGUUCUACUCCGUCAUCUUUUUACUUGUCGUAAGUGUGUACAUGUGAACGUGUAGCUGUGCAUGUGUGUCUCUCAUCGAUGCCGGAUUCGCGCGUUCACCUCCGCCCCUCCCCCUCCUCAUACGCGCACGAACGUGCAUACACGGCCACCGCGCUGUGUUGUGGUGGUGGUGGCUGUUUUCUCGUAGCAGCGCAAAGGGGCUGAGGGGGAUGGGAGCGGCGGCGGUGCUUUACUUGGAUGCCACUAGGGACGCUGACGGUGGUGGCAGAGGCAGUGGUGAUGAACGCCUUCUUGUGGCACUCUUGAACUAGACG
This 2259-nucleotide unclassified non-coding RNA is filed under the name Leishmania donovani. Its description in RNAcentral is "gene:LdHU3.24.1440(CDS-product:Inhibitor_of_apopt osis-promoting_Bax1_putative)". The record is from RNAcentral. Lineage: Eukaryota; Euglenozoa; Kinetoplastea; Trypanosomatida; Trypanosomatidae.